Molecule: ribosomal RNA, 440 nt
Filed under: uncultured bacterium
Lineage: Bacteria
Description: partial 16S ribosomal RNA
Rfam family: Bacterial small subunit ribosomal RNA
Source: RNAcentral
CCUACGGGAGGCAGCAGUGGGGAAUAUUGCACAAUGGGGGAAACCCUGAUGCAGCGACGCCGCGUGAGUGAAGAAGUAUUUCGGUAUGUAAAGCUCUAUCAGCAGGGAAGAAAAUGACGGUACCUGAUUAAGAAGCCCCGGCUAACUACGUGCCAGCAGCCGCGGUUAAACGUAGGGGGCAAGCGUUAUCCGGAUUUACUGGGUGUAAAGGGAGCGUGGACGGCAGCACAAGUCUGGAGGGAAAUGCCCGGGCUUAACCCCGGAACUGCUUUGGAAACUGUGCAGCUAGAGUGCAGGAGAGGUAAGUGGAAUUCCUAGUGUAGCGGUGAAAUGCGUAGAUAUUAGGAGGAACACCAGUGGCGAAGGCGGCUUACUGGACUGUAACUGACGUUGAGGCUCGAAAGCGUGGGGAGCAAACACGAUUAGAUACCCUGGUAGUC